RNAcentral lists this ribosomal RNA (388 nucleotides) under uncultured bacterium. RNAcentral's name for it is "bacterial SSU rRNA". It matches the Rfam family "Bacterial small subunit ribosomal RNA", at positions 28 to 416 of the family's 1533-position model. The record is from RNAcentral.
GACGAACGCUGGCGGCGUGCUUAACACAUGCAAGUCGAGCGGUAAGGCCCUUUCGGGGGUACGACGAGCGGCGAACGGGUGAGUAACACGUGGGUGACCUGCCCUCAGCUCUGGGAUAAGCCUGGGAAACCGGGUCUAAUACUGGAUAUGACUCCAUGACGCAUGUUGUGGGGUGGAAAGCCUUGUGCGGCUGAGGAUGGGCCCGCGGCCUAUCAGCUUGUUGGUGGGGUGAGGCCUACCAAGGCGACGACGGGUAGCCGGCCUGAGAGGGCGACCGGCCACACUGGGACUGAGACACGGCCCAGACUCCUACGGGAGGCAGCGAGUGGGGAAUCUUGCGCAAUGGGCGAAAGCCUGACGCAGCGACGCCGCGUGAGGGAUGACGGCC